This 1577-nucleotide ribosomal RNA is filed under the name human gut metagenome. RNAcentral's name for it is "bacterial LSU rRNA". It matches the Rfam family "Bacterial large subunit ribosomal RNA", at positions 892 to 2483 of the family's 2925-position model. The record is from RNAcentral.
CUUAGUGAAGGUAGAGCUUUGAAUGUGUGAUGGCCCCAUCCCGGGGUACUGAAUACAAUCAAACUGCGAAUGUCAUUAAGGAUGUCCGGCAGUCAGACUGUGAGUGAUAAGGUCCAUGGUCAAGAGGGAAACAGCCCAGACCGCCAGUUAAGGUCCCAAAAUACAGGCUAAGUGGAAAAGGAUGUGGGGAUGCCCAGACAACUAGGAGGUUGGCUCAGAAGCAGCCAUCCUUUAAAGAGUGCGUAACAGCUCACUAGUCGAGUGACCCUGCGCCGAAAAUGUACCGGGGCUAAGCCUGAUACCGAAACUGCGGAUUGUAGGAAACUAUAGUGGUAGGGGAGCGUUGUAUACGAGCAGAAGCCGUACCGUGAGGAGCGGUGGAUUGUAUAGAAGUGAGAAUGCCGGUGUGAGUAGCGAGAUGUAGGUGAGAAUCCUACACACCGAAAGCCCAAGGAUUCCAGGGGAAGGUUCGUCCGCCCUGGGUAAGUCGGGACCUAACGCGAGGCCGAAAGGCGUAGUGGAUGGAAAGCAGGCGAAAGAUUCCUGCACCCGUAUAUGGAGCGAAGGAGUGACGGAGACGGAUAGUGUGACCCUCUUAAUGGAUUGAGGGCGAAGCGAAGCGGCUGGUUACCAGGCAAAUCCGGUAACUGAAAGGCUAGAGCGUGACAGGUAAGCGAAAUCUUUGGAAAGUAGCGAAGCACAUGAUGACGGCUUCCAGGAAAAGCUUCUGGCAAUGCAUAUGCGGCCCGUACCAAAACCGACACAGGUGGGCAGGGAGAGAAUCCCGAGGUGAGCGAGAGAACUGUUGCCAAGGAACUCGGCAAAAUGACUCCGUAAGUUAGCGAGAAGGAGUGCUUAAGCAAUUAAGCCGCAGUGAAGAGGCCCAAGCGACUGUUUAACUAAAACACAGCUCUCUGCGAAGUCGCAAGACGAAGUAUAGGGGGUGACACCUGCCCGGUGCUGGAAGGUUAAGAGGAUCUGUUAAGAGCGAUCUGAAGCAGUGAUCCGAAGCCCCAGUGAACGGCGGCCGUAACUAUAACGGUCCUAAGGUAGCGAAAUUCCUUGUCAGGUAAGUUCUGACCCGCACGAAAGGUGUAACGAUUUGGGCGCUGUCUCGGCAGCAGACUCGGUGAAAUCUUAGUACCUGUGAAAAUGCAGGUUACCCGCAACUAGACGGAAAGACCCCAUGGAGCUUUACUGCAGCCUGAUAUUGAAUUCUGGUCAUACAUGUACAGGAUAGGUGGGAGACAAAGAGACGUGCACGCCAGUGUACGAGGAGUCGCCGUUGGGAUACCACUCUUGUGUGACCGGGGUUCUAACCUGGUAUCGAGAACAGGUACGGGGAGAGUGUCAGGUGGGCAGUUUGACUGGGGCGGUCGCCUCCCAAAGAGUAACGGAGGCGCCCAAAGGUACGCUCAGAUUGGAUGGAAACCAAUCGUCGAGUGCAAUUGCAGAAGCGUGCUUGACUGUGAGACAGACAAGUCGAACAGGGACGAAAGUCGGGAAUAGUGAUCCGGCGGUGCCGAAUGGAAGGGCCGUCGCUCAACGGAUAAAAGCUACCCUGGGGAUAACAGGCU